UGGGGAAUCUUGGACAAUGGGGGCAACCCUGAUCCAGCCAUGCCGCGUGAGUGAUGAAGGCCUUAGGGUCGUAAAGCUCUUUCGCCUGUGAAGAUAAUGACGGUAGCAGGUAAAGAAACCCCGGCUAACUCCGUGCCAGCAGCCGCGGUAAUACGGAGGGGGUUAGCGUUGUUCGGAAUUACUGGGCGUAAAGCGCACGUAGGCGGACCAGAAAGUUGGGGGUGAAAUCCCGGGGGCUCAACCCCGGAACUGCCUCCAAAACUAUUGGUCUAGAGUUCGAGAGAGGUGAGUGGAAUUCCAAGUGUAGAGGUGAAAUUCGUAGAUAUUUGGAGGAACACCAGUGGCGAAGGCGGCUCACUGGCUCGAUACUGACGCUGAGGUGCGAAAGUGUGGGGAGCAAACAGGAUUAGAUACCCUGGGUAGUCCACGCCGUAAAACGAUGAGUGCUAGAUGUUGGGAUUUUACGGGAUUUCAGUGUCGCAGCUAA
RNAcentral lists this ribosomal RNA (487 nucleotides) under uncultured bacterium. RNAcentral describes it as "bacterial SSU rRNA". It matches the Rfam family "Bacterial small subunit ribosomal RNA", at positions 355 to 855 of the family's 1533-position model. The record is from RNAcentral.